RNAcentral lists this transfer RNA (72 nucleotides) under Vibrio phage vB_VpaM_R16F. RNAcentral's name for it is "tRNA-Arg". Lineage: Duplodnaviria; Heunggongvirae; Uroviricota; Caudoviricetes. The record is from RNAcentral.
UGCGCCGUAGGAGUUUCGAAAUCCUGACCUAAGUGUUAUGAGCACUUUGCUCUGCCUCUGAGCUAACGGCAC